AUGGACGGGAACAAGUAAGGUACACAUUUGACGUUGAAAGGAGUAAUUAGUUGUCGUUGGAGAAGCGUGUCAAAAGUCCUGCCAAGUUCAUUAAACAUCGUUGUCUGCCUCUUUGGUGUUAACGAUUUCUAUGGAACAUCCAUUCUUUCCAUUACAGGUGGGGGUUUUUCACUGAAUAUGCAAGUGACGAAGGAAACCUUACCAGAAUUUCCGUGGUUUUUCUUCCCUCAUUUUCAUAAUUAACAUCAUGCUUCUAUUUCAAGCGGUGUAUUACGGCUAAAAAAUUCAGAAACGAAGAGGGAAUGGCUCCGCUUCCUACGUCGCACAAGAGUAAAGUUCAAGUUGUGGCUGGCAGCACUCGUCGUCCUCGUUCGAAGGUUUUCCUUCUCGUUCGAAACGUGCCAAGAUAUUAUGCAACAGGAUCGACAGGUUACCGUCUCCAAAUUCUCCGAGAGAGCGGGUAAAACUGGAGUCUGUAACGACACUUUCACAGCAAGGGUUCAAGGUUCUCCGCGGAUCGCUUUCAUCUGUCGUUGUCGGCCAGAUUCGUUGCCUGCUUUCGCAUGAACUUUGAUAAUAAAGCUGGAUUA
Molecule: long non-coding RNA, 590 nt
Organism: Hylaeus volcanicus
Lineage: Eukaryota; Metazoa; Arthropoda; Insecta; Hymenoptera; Colletidae
Exons: 3
Source: RefSeq, a predicted model, not a curated record